Cygnus olor (mute swan) is the source of this 4907-nucleotide long non-coding RNA. RefSeq lists it as uncharacterized. NCBI's taxonomy places the organism in Eukaryota, Metazoa, Chordata, Aves, Anseriformes, Anatidae. The record is from RefSeq and is a predicted model, not a curated record. The transcript has 4 exons.
CUGCUCCUCAUACACCUCCCCCUCCAGAACCUGCACUAUCUUUGUAAGUGAGUCUCCUUUGGACAGUCUCUAGUCUCUAGUCUCCUUUGGACACUCUCUAGUAGUUUUAUAUCCUUCUUACACUGUGGCGCCCACAGCUGCACACAGUACUUAAGCGAGGCCGCACCAGUGCAGAGGGUGAAAGGACUCGGCAUAAGACGUAAUUAUUCCUUGCUAUGCAACUCCGUAACUAACAGGACUGGGCCUUGUGAGAGCAAAGGUCUCCAUUGGAGCCUCAGUCCCUGCCUUAGAUGUAGAUACAUAUGCAGCAGGUCCCUUGAAGUUAGGUGGGGUGAAUCUGAUCUGCCAGUUUCUCCUGAUGUGUGAACAAUGUAAGUCAAUGACAGCUCAGAUUGUUUCUGCAGCAAUUACACAGAGCAGCAAUUACAUUUCUGCAGCAAUUACAAGGAGUGGCACUGGAGUUACAGGGAAAUGAGGGGAAAGAAAGAGAGAGAAGGAAACACAGCAGGAAUAUUGGCCACAUUGUGCAAUCUGUAGCCUAGACCUAUUCUUGGGGCAAGCCAUGAGACAGUGAGUGGUACCCAAAUCAUUUCUGAAGUCAGGAGUUGUGCAUCAGAGAGAGGGCUGCUCACUGGUAGGGACCCCAAUCUCCUCCUUGUAUGCUUGUCCCUGCCUUUUUUGGGGGAGUGCAGAAAAAGGGUCCUUUAGGCUUUGUCAGAGAUAGAAUCCCUAUUGCUUUGGUGACAAAACAAACAGCGAGAGUGACCAGUAGGAGAUGAUGAGGGGGAAACACGAAAACAAAGAAAGUUAAUGUACCUUCAGGGCUUUCUGCAAUGUGAAGCCCUGGGGCAUCUUCUGCCUCUGCUGACCUCUUGAGGGCUGGUGGACCUCAACAGGAUUUUCUGCCACCAGUGUAGAUGAGUUUGAACCCACAGGCCUUUGGCCUCAGCCACUCCCUCUGGCAAUGAGCAACUAUGCUGCAGUCUCCAAAAGAAGGAGUCUGGGGGCAGGUGGUGGCAGAGAGAGGUCAUACAGUGGAAGGAGAGGCCAUGAGUAGGGGGGCUUUUAGUAGUCAGUGAGAGGGGAGCCCUGGCUGAGGGGCAACCAUGUCCCUCCCCACCUUUCCAUUAUGUUACUAGCUCUCCAAAAUGCACUGGGAUUUAUGGCACUGAGAGACAUGGGUUGUGUUUCCAUGUAGGUACAAGAGCUCAGGUGGGGAGAAAGGCAAUGUGAGGAGGAGGCAGGAAGAGAAAAGGAGAAAAGGGGCAUUCAUGACAGAUGGGGAAAGAGAUGGCAAUUUGUCACUGAAAUCAUCAUUAGAAAUACCUUCUGAGGACAUCCCCUUAGAGGUUUGCCACAAGAUUUGUAAUGUAAAAACCCCAGGGAAAACCCAGGCAAACACUAUGCUAAAUUAGCAGGUUGAAAAUACAGAUUAAUAAAUCCAUAGCGAGCAUCCUUAUGGUGACACUGCAGCAUCCAUGCUGGCCCUAGGCAGCUGCCACAGUGACACUGAAUGAUGGGUGUGCUCCCUGUGCGUGGCUUUAGCAGAGGACACCUCGUCGCGUGGCCUUGCCUGGUCACUGUACUCAAAAGGCACAGUCAGAGACUCUCCGAAGGAUGUUGCCUGGCACUCCAACCCUUGGCACGUGAGCUACCUGCAAAGCACAAAGUGAAUGCUUAAUAAGGCGUCGUCUGGUUUCCAUACAUAUAUAUAUAUGGAAAAAAUAUGGAAAAUAUAUACGGAUGUAUGUGUGUAGGUUUCCAUACAGGCUAUUAUUAGGGCUGCAAUCAGAAUAAGUAAAGUGCUCUUGUUGACCUCUGCUCCCCAUCCUGCCGUAGGCAAUAACCCUGAUGCUGAGGCAAGCUGCAGAGCUUGCCUCCUUCCUGUGGGGCUGUCCCUUACCCCUCAGUGCUCUCUCCAGCCUCGAGAGGGAAGAUUUCAGCUGCCUUCAGCUGCAGAAGUGGAGCCACCUUCCCUCACACAUGCCUGACUUAUAGACCAUUUUAAAGUACGCCAUGGGGGCGUCUAAUAUGCUAAUGAAGAAAGUGGGUGGAAGAGCAGGAAUUUGAGCACAGCUAAAAAUGUACAUGCCUAACAAUUGCAAAUCAGCCUGUGCUGAAGUUACCUAAAUGGGUUGGCAUCAGUGGAAGGUGGGUGCCUCUACACCUCUUCUUGUCAGUUUGCUGUGAGUACACGGCUAAAAAAAAAUCAUACGCCUCUCUAUAUGGACCUGCUGUUUCAGCCAGGGUUAUCAGUAAAGGUUUAUAUCAAAAAGUCCCUACUUUCCACUCUUACUCAAACAGUAGGAGGAACAGUGUCUUCAUGCAAACACAUCCCAGACUGGUUGCAGGCAUAGUAUUUCAGAUAUGCUGUGGCAUCUGGCUGCAUUAACAGAUCUAAGUAUCAUCUUGAAAUGGACUUCUAAAAUAUUGGUUAGUUUUUGCAACUGGAUUCACGUCUGGGUUGUGUCAAUGAAGGUUCUGCAUAUUGUGGCUUGUAGUAAAGUCUUAAAUCACUCACAGAUUUGUGUGAUUAAGGGUGUAAAAUCCCAGCCUGGUUUCCUUUUUGAAGCUCAAGCUCAGCUACUUUUAUAUGACUUGAUUUUUCAGAUCAGAACUAAUGUUUUUUGGAUGCAUGAAAGAAACAUUCAUAAGUACAGCUGCAAGUAAAGGCAGGGCUCUCGUAAUACAUAGCUGCAGUUGUAGUGGCUAAAAUGUGAUUUCACAGAGUAGAAAGCUUGAGGCCAUUACAAAAUCAGUAAACAGAAAGGCGGCCAGUUGAAAAGAGAAAAAUAACAAGCAGGAUAUUGUCUGAUACUACAUCCUGCCAAUGCAAAGCCAGGUGUUCCAAUGGGAAAAAAAGUGAAACAGAAGGUGGUGCUCACAGGAUUGCAUUUACAUACUGCUUAGUAGCACCCAGGGGUGCUCACUGCUGCUGGGAAGGCUGUGGCUGCUGGGUGCUACGUGAGGGUUGUAUGCCUGCUCCCGAUGUGAGCAGGUGAAGAGCUGGCCAAGUUGGGCUGGGGAAGGGAGACAAACACAGCAACCAUGUGGCUGGGGAGGGACUACACUGCUGGUGGAAAACAAGACCAAAGAGGUGAUUUCUGAGGGAUACCAAUGAGAUAAAGGGCUGGAAGGGGCAGGUAAGCAGCAGGAUGGGGGGCUUGGUGAAGUGUGACAUUUAACGAAAACACACCAAGGAUUGUGAGAUGCAGGGCAGAGGACCAUAGGGAGAUAAUCCCAGAGUCCAGGGACAGAUGUGUCUCCAUGGGGGGUCAUGACGGCAGCACAAAGGUCUGCAGAGCCUCCAAAGGAGAGACCCAAGCCCUGCGGAAGGCAACGGUGAGAGGAAGACCAGCUAACACAUGUACAGAUGUUUGCUCUACCUGCUGGGUGCUGGGGAGGUGGUGGAGGCUGCUGGGGAGGUCACAGUCUGGGAUGGGAGAUCCACAGCCAGUGUGUUGGGGUGGGGAAUGAGGGUGGUGAAGGACUGACAUGAAAAAUAAACACGAUAGAUCUGAGAACAGAUUCAGUCACUGGAGAGAAAAGGGAAAACGGUGCAGAGAACCCCAGAGCUGUGAGCUCACGGGUGAGGGAAGCCAGGAGAGGCGCUGGAGGAGCGUGGGAGGUGAGAGGGCUGAGGAGGAGUAAACAUUUGGGUGAAGGCGUAUCUUUCAAUCCCAGCAGGAUCUGCUACAGUGCAGCAGCUCCAAAUCCGUGUUUGCUGGAUCCCAGAUGCCCAAAAAACAGACUUUUGCAGCUUCAUUCUUACCAGCCUUGCUGCUGCUUGUAGAGGGGGGGAUAGUUUGGGGAGGGAUUGGUUUGCUCUCUUACAGUGUGCCUGAGGUUAUGAAUGGCUGCAAAUAUUACCAGCAAAGCCUGGUGCAGGAGAGGAUGAAACAGGAAAAGCCAAAACCAUGUAGAUUCAACAUUCCCCCUUCCUUCCCCUCCCACAGAUUCCUGAAGCUCCCAGGGAGAGGAGAGGAGACGUGACACCUAGGGGUGUUUGUGGUUGCAGUUUGCCCAUGUGGAAAGUGGUGCCUUUCAGGUGCUACGCUGUUUAAGCUUUCUUCCAUUGCACGUGGCCUCAGCGAAGGAGAGCAAUGGCUUUUCUCUGGGCUCCACUCCAGAACAGAGAAGAGGAGGUGGAGGCUCACUUCUUGCCCAGCAGUGAAGACCCUGGUUUUGGAUGUCAGCGAUCAGGUUGAGGUUACUCUGUUUCUUGAGACAGCUUUGACCUGUGUCCCCUGCACCAGGAUUCCCAUCUUGUCUUAUUUUAAAAUCUUUAGAAAAUCACUAGCCUUGGAACCUAAGAGCAUUAACCUCUGUUUUGGUGAUUAGGAUAGUCAUUAAGAAGGACAGCCACGUUUUGGUAAAUACUCCCAAAAGCAGGUGAUGGGAAUGAUCUCAAGCUACAGAGAUAAAGGUAAUCCUGUCCGGCAGUGACAGCAAGGUUGUAAAAACAGAGCACACCGAUGAACCUUCAGCCAUGGGACAUUCCUCCCCCAGUCAGCUCAGUACCUGAUACACAGGUGUGAAUGUAAAUGGAUGCAGGGAAAGUUUCCUGCAGUAUGCUGGAAAUGAUGAGUCACAGACGAAGUGGUUUGAGAAGGCAGAGGAGAGCAGCUCGGCGUGCUGACCUGCCUGACCCGUGGGUCGUCGUGUGGUGCUCCGCCUCCGUCUCUGGUUAGUCGAGUCCCGAGGUCACACUGCAAUUCCUGUAAACUGCCUGAGCACCCGGGAUUGCGGCACCGGUGUACAUGAGUAAAUAAAAUAGGCUGCACUUGCUGGAGAGUCCUAAGUUCUGUGCUGCUGAUUUUGUACCCAUUUCUGUUAUUUUCAUGCUGGAAGCCCUGUGCAGCUGGAUUCUCUAAAGGAGAGAGUUAAAGAGUUAGGCAUGAACAUGU